This 440-nucleotide ribosomal RNA is filed under the name uncultured bacterium. Its description in RNAcentral is "partial 16S ribosomal RNA". It matches the Rfam family "Bacterial small subunit ribosomal RNA", at positions 338 to 795 of the family's 1533-position model. The record is from RNAcentral.
CCUACGGGAGGCAGCAGUAGGGAAUAUUGCUCAAUGGGGGAAACCCUGAAGCAGCAACGCCGCGUGGAGGAUGAAGGUUUUCGGAUUGUAAACUCCUUUUGUUAGAGAAGAUAAUGACGGUAUCUAACGAAUAAGCACCGGCUAACUCCGUGCCAGCAGCCGCGGUAAUACGGAGGGUGCAAGCGUUACUCGGAAUCACUGGGCGUAAAGAGCGCGUAGGCGGGAUAGCAAGUCAGAUGUGAAAUCCUAGGGCUGAACCAUAGAACUGCAUUUGAAACUGUUAUUCUAGAGUAUGGGAGAGGUAGGUGGAAUUCUUGGUGUAGGGGUAAAAUCCGUAGAGAUCAAGAGGAAUACUCAUGGCGAAGGCGACCUGCUAGAACAUAACUGACGCUGAUGCGCGAAAGCGUGGGGAGCAAACAGGAUUAGAUACCCCAGUAGUC